GACGAACGCUGGCGGCGUGCUUAACACAUGCAAGUCGAACGGAAAGGCCCCUUUGGGGGUACUCGAGUGGCGAACGGGUGAGUAACACGUGAGUAACCUGCCCUUGACUUCGGGAUAACUUCAGGAAACUGGGGCUAAUACCGGAUAGGAAUCCUUGCUGCAUGGUGGGGGUUGGAAAGCUUCGGCGGUUUUGGAUGGACUCACGGCCUAUCAGCUUGUUGGUGGGGUAGUGGCUUACCAAGGCUUUGACGGGUAGCCGGCCUGAGGGGGCGACCGGCCACAUUGGGACUGAGGUACGGCCCAGACUCCUACGGGGGGCAGCAGUGGGGAAUAUUGCACAAUGGGCGGAAGCCUGAUGCAGCAACGCCGCGUGCGGGAUGACGGCCUUCGGGUUGUAAACCGCUUUCAGCAGGGGCGAAGCUUGUGGUGACGGUACCUGCAGAAGAAGCACCGGCUAACUACGUG
This 465-nucleotide ribosomal RNA is filed under the name uncultured bacterium. RNAcentral describes it as "partial 16S ribosomal RNA". It matches the Rfam family "Bacterial small subunit ribosomal RNA", at positions 28 to 507 of the family's 1533-position model. The record is from RNAcentral.